AGAAGCACCGGCUAACUCCGUGCCAGCAGCCGCGGUAAUACGGAGGGUGCAAGCGUUAAUCGGAAUUACUGGGCGUAAAGCGCACGCAGGCGGUUUGUUAAGUCAGAUGUGAAAUCCCCGGGCUCAACCUGGGAACUGCAUCUGAUACUGGCAAGCUUGAGUCUCGUAGAGGGGGGUAGAAUUCCAGGUGUAGCGGUGAAAUGCGUAGAGAUCUGGAGGAAUACCGGUGGCGAAGGCGGCCCCCUGGACGAAGACUGACGCUCAGGUGCGAAAGCGUGGGGAGCAAACAGGAUU
This 294-nucleotide ribosomal RNA is filed under the name Escherichia coli. RNAcentral's name for it is "partial 16S ribosomal RNA". It matches the Rfam family "Bacterial small subunit ribosomal RNA", at positions 486 to 779 of the family's 1533-position model. RNAcentral also lists the same sequence under 9 other names. The record is from RNAcentral. Lineage: Bacteria; Pseudomonadati; Pseudomonadota; Gammaproteobacteria; Enterobacterales; Enterobacteriaceae.